GCGGCCCCCAGCAGCUGCGGCCACGGCUGGCUCCGGCGGCGCGGGAGGAGCCACCCAGGUCCUAACGCCGCCGGGCCAGAGCUGCGCCGCUCGCCUCUUGCCCGGCGUGCUGCUGUAGCUGCCUCCAGUGGCUGGAGUCACCGCGGUGACACCCUGAGCAGCCUAAUGACGCUUUUCUGGUGGCGCAGCUUGCUGGCCCAAGGCAACGUUUGACUCUAUUAUUGAUAUUACGCUGAGGAACCCAAGGCUGCUUGAACGUUCUGGUGUUCAGUACCUCCUGUUCUGGGUGACUGGCAGAGCUGCAGAAAGCCACGGGUGAAACCAUCGCCUCAGGAGAAAAGGACUUACGGAUCCAGCAGAAAAGGUCUUCUAAGGAGAAAUGAAAAUUGAAGUUCGAAUGUGCUGGACAGCACAUAAACAGAACAGUAAAAGGUCUCUGAUCAUAGGAAAAUCAACAGUUUAAACAGGUAAUUCAUACCAGAGAAGAUUCAUCUACACACCAGAAAAGUGAGGCAAGACACUGCUCUAUAAAACAGCUGCUGCAAGUUUGAUCAGAGCACAGAAAACAUUGUGUUUCACACUGAAAAACAGAGUUAAGCUAGGAAUCGGGGUUGGGACAAGCUGCUCCAUAGACCCUCGUGCAUGCAGCUAGAUGGAAAUAUUCUAGCCAUUCACAGUAAAUUGUACUUGUUCUUGGAUUGAAUUACUAGAUUAGCCUUACAUCAGAAAGGAAGAUGCAUUUUUAUAGUCAAAACACUCACUGUUUAUAUCCUUUAGCAGAGAUGGAGGUAAGUCUGUGUAACGGGCAAGUUUGCCCACAAAGGCAAACUGAACCUGUGGAACUGAAGUGGUGGAACUUUUUAUGGGCCUCUAUGGGUAAGGGCAAAUAAACUAGAAUCAAGUCACUUUGUUCUCAUAUGAAGUCUCCAAUACAAAUAGUUUAUACUGGCACAGCAACUGCAAUAUAAUUACAAACAUUUUCUGGAAUUGGGCCAGCCCUUCUAGCUUGUUUCCUUCUAUGUGGAAAUAAGCUACCAAUAGUUUUAUACUGAUAGAGCUCUGUUCACACUAUAGGGAAAGACAGCUCAUACUUUAAUUAUGCCAACAGAGAUAAAGUAGCAAAAUGCCUGAUAGAGGAAUUAGUGUUUCAGAUACAGUCCGUUUACCUACUGCAAGACAGCUGUGAUAUUCCUAGCACAGGCAAGGCUUUAGAGUACCAAUUCUUAGCAUAAAAAAAAAAUCCCUCCUGUGUAAUUCCCAGAACAACAUCAACCUUUGAAAUGUUCAUAGAAUUACUAGACACAAUCCAGACUUUUAAUUUUCUGAUAGAUGCUGUCAAGAGUUCAGCUGACAAGAAUCUUCUGUGCCACUCAAGUGUCACUUUGUAACAGUUUUUUAUUUCAAAAUUACUGCUUUUUCCCCCCUUUCCCCCCCUUUUUUUAAAUUUCAGCAACAGUACUGUGAUAAUUCUGAGUCUUAGUAAAAGCAUUGCUGAAAACAAAAUGCAUGUUUUGGCUUGAAAAAAACACAUAAAAGCAAUUGGUACCUCCUCAUCCAGGCUACAGCUUGGGAAAUGAUCUCUGACUUGCCAAUGACAACAACAGGCAAGUAGCUAUCCAGCAAAAUCUCUUUAGCUCAGCUGCACAAUAGUACUUCCACUGCUAUUUAUACUUAAUUUGGUUGUUUAAAAUGGCAUCUGCAAAUUCAGGCUUAGUAACUAAACCAAAGCAGAGGGCACUUCAUCCAUCUACAAACUGAAAUAAAUACUUUGCCUCUUAAUUUAAGAGUGUUUUCAACUGAGCCACUGUCCUUUUGAAGUAUCUGGAGUCCCAAAGCCAAGUUUCUAAAUGACUGCUGUAUUCACAGUGCUGCAUAAAAUGAAAUUCAAGUCACUGACUGUGCCUUUCUGAUGCCCCAACUGGAGUCUUCAUUUGACAGCAAGUACACUAGUUGCAUUGUAAGAUGGACUUCCACAACAUGCACAAUUACCUAUUCCACAGUAGGAUACUAAAGUUAAUCUACAAGGCACUACACACAUCACCUCUGCUUGGUGAGCAUGUCAGGAAUGAGGCACCCUCUCUUGGAAGACCCUGAACCUCCCUUAGCUGUAUUGCAGAUAAGGCUGAAGAGUUUUGUCCUUCAAAAAUAUAACUAACCAGCUCAACAUGAUGACAUUAAAAUGGUAUCCAUGAUGAGGGUAAUUAAACUGGAUGUCGAUGAUCAGGAGCACAAAUUUCUGGACCUGCUCUCUGAAGAAUGUUGUGACACUGGGUACCAAAACCAGAAUAGUGUGUUGGGUAGUAUCCAGUCCUGUUACUGUUGUUAAACCUUAAGGUAAGCUACUCACCUGCUCUCACAGACAGUGAGCACUUUUCCAUGUCACUGGGUCACAAACACAAAGAAUAAGGUAAGAUAGGUCUCUGAGACAGGAGAAAGGAAGCUAAUUGUGUUACAAAGAAGAAUGGAACAAAGAUACUCCAUAAUACAUCAGUAUGUUGGGCACAAAGAGAGGCAUGUGCACAGCAUAUAUACUGCUCAGAUGCCAUGGUUUAAUUUGCAGUGGCAACGUAGCAUCGUUACCUAUAUUGAUACAGACUGCCUCUUAAAAUAAGUCACUUCUUGAAGAUUGAAUGUGCUGUCUGCUAUGUAUUUAUUUUUAAACUACCAAGAAGUCCUAGUGCCUGUUGCUCAGAUUUUAUAUAACUUUACAAAUUCAGGAGGUGCAGAAUUUGCCCUCAGCUGUUUAGAAUACCAAUGAGAGCAAUUAGAGGCAUUGCUGAACUGUCUAGGGAAAAAAAUGUAAUCUGUAUUUUUCAUUACCCCUGAAGAAAGGUACAACUUACUACAAACUUGUUAUUAUUUCCACUUAAAGAAUUAGAAGAGCUAUUAUGACAACUCUUGUAUUUAAACAAUUGCUUAGCAGAAGUAGUUGCUUACUUUCUUAAAUCAGAUGAUCUACUUAGGAUGCACCUGUUUCUCUCACAGUCCAUAUUGCCUGUAGAACUGAAACCAGAACCCCAUAAUACCUCAUUGAUGUUAAUGGUUCACUGAAGUUAAAUGUUUUUAAAAUGAUUAAAUGUAUUUCUUUGUUUUGUUGUAA
Pogoniulus pusillus (Red-fronted tinkerbird) is the source of this 3100-nucleotide long non-coding RNA. RefSeq lists it as uncharacterized. The record is from RefSeq and is a predicted model, not a curated record. NCBI's taxonomy places the organism in Eukaryota, Metazoa, Chordata, Aves, Piciformes, Lybiidae. The transcript has 3 exons.